This 494-nucleotide ribosomal RNA is filed under the name uncultured bacterium. RNAcentral describes it as "partial 16S ribosomal RNA". It matches the Rfam family "Bacterial small subunit ribosomal RNA", at positions 28 to 507 of the family's 1533-position model. The record is from RNAcentral.
GACGAACGCUGGCGGCGUGCUUAACACAUGCAAGUCGAACGGAAAGGCCUGCUUUCCCUUGUGGAUUGCGGGUACUCGAGUGGCGAACGGGUGAGUAACACGUGAGUGAUCUGCCCCCAACUUGGGUAUAAGCCUGGGAAACUGGGUCUAAUUCCCGAUAGGACUGCAGGGUGGUGCCUGUGGUGGAAAACGAUUUUCUAGUGGUUGGGGAUGAGCUCGCGGCCUAUCAGCUUGUUGGUGGGGUAAUGGCCUACCAAGGCGGCGACGGGUAGCCGGCCUGAGAGGGUGGACGGCCACAUUGGGACUGAGAUACGGCCCAGACUCCUACGGGAGGCAGCAGUUGGGAAUAGUGCACGAUGGGCGGAAGCCUGAUGCAGCGACGCCGCGUGGGGGAUGACGGCCUUCGGGUUGUAAACUCCUUUCGACCGCGAGGAAGCCACCUGGUUGGAAGGGUGGUGACGGUAGUGGUAGAAGAAGCACCGGCUAACUACGUG